Molecule: long non-coding RNA, 5297 nt
Organism: Gasterosteus aculeatus aculeatus (three-spined stickleback)
Lineage: Eukaryota; Metazoa; Chordata; Actinopteri; Perciformes; Gasterosteidae
Source: Ensembl
CACCCUGUCCCUCUGGAGUGUACUGUAGCUCAUACGGAGCCUCAACACCAGACGGUUCUUGUUUGCAGGGUUAUUUCUGCACGGGGGGAGCCACACAGCCAACACCGCACAGCUCUGACAACUCCCCAGUGAAUGGCCCUUGCCCCGUGGGCCAUUACUGCCCAGCAGGGUGCCUCGCCCCAAUUCCCUGCCCUCUCGGCAGUAUUCGCAAAACCAUAGGAGGGGUGUCCAUGGAGAGCUGCUCCGCCUGUCCCGCUGGUCACUACUGCUCUGCGGAGGGUCUUGCUAGCCCCAGUGGCCCGUGUGCAGCUGGUUUCUACUGCCCUUUUGACUACUCCUCGACCACUCCAUAUGCCUUCUUGUGUCCCAAGGGCCAUUACUGUCCAGAAGGCUCCGUUCUGCCCCUGCCUUGUGCCACAGGAGAGUACCAGCCAAACCCGGGCUCAGACGGCUGCGUCCCAUGCCGAUCUGGGUUCUACUGUGAGGAGGCCAUAGUGGGAGAGCCAUGGCCCUGCCCACCACACUCAUUUUGCCCUGCAGGCACAAUGGUGCCUCUGCUCUGCCCCAAUGGGACAUACACUCCUUCAAACCAGGGAGGACUACAAGAAGAGCGAGAGUGUUUACCCUGCCCUCCAGGGAAAUUCUGCAGGGCUGGUAGGAUCCAGGGUUUGUGCGCGGCGGGCUAUCUUUGUGUUUCUGGCAGUGCAGAUGUCACCCCUGAGGCGCCACUGUCUAACAUGACACAGUGCCAGUGGGGCAUGCAGUGUGCUGGACCAUGUCCACCAGGUUUUUACUGUCCUGAGGGAACGGAGGAAGCUAAGUUCUGUGCUGCAAACACCUUCAGAAGCUCCCCGGGAGGUGCCAGCCUACCUGACUGUUUACCCUGCCCACCUCAGCAUUGGUGUAAACCGGGAGACCCAGUCCUUCAUCCGUGUCCGCCCGCUCAUUACUGUGACGGUCUGCCUGGAAGUGACUUUAAUGGAGGCACAGGACCCAGGCCAUGUCCGCUGUACACCUAUCGAGCUUUACCGGGAGCAGGCAGCAAGGGUGACUGCCUGCCCUGCCCUCCUGGUUCUCACUGUAACAGAACAGGGCUUACAGACUACUCCAACAGUCGGUGCCCGCCUGGUUUCUGGUGCAGCGGGUCUGGACCCCCCAUUCUCUGCCCUGCAGGCACCAAAAGGCCCCGUCCUGGAGCUGCUUCACCAAGCCAAUGUGAACCGUGUUCAGGGGGAACCUUCUGCCCAGAUCCGAGAGCAACAGGGAGGCCGAAUGUGGAGGGGAUCCCCUGCAGGGCCUCCUAUCAAUGCCCAACUGGUGCAGUCUCGGAGAGUCUGUGCAGAGCCGGCUCAUACUGUGGACCUCAUACUGAUGAGCCUGCAGUCUGUCCCAAAGGGUAUCUUUGUCCUGAGGGAUCUCAUACCUACAACACCCCCAAGCAACUAUGCCCUUUUCCUUACUACUGUCCAGCAAACAGCUCCUUCAUGAGGUCCUGCAAGGGAGGAUUUAUGCCCAUCAACACCAGCGACCUCAGAGGAUCCAAAAACAGCUGUUGUCGUGUGUGUGAGGGGGGCACCUAUCGCCCGUACCUCUCCCCCAUCCUGCAAUGUCUUCCAUGUCCACCGGGAUACUUUUGCUCUCCAGGUACAACCGACUACAAAAGUUCCCCCUGCCCUGUUGGGUAUCGCUGUCCAAAGGGAGCCGCCCAACCAAUAGCCUGCCCUCCUGGCUUCUUUGGUAACAUUACUCAUGCUGAGACAUUGAGUGACUGUCACCUGUGUCCAGCUGGCACCUUCAACCACCUGCUUGCUCAGAAGGCCUGCUUCCCCUGUGGCAGCUCCUCCACCUCAACAGCCGGUUCUUCUUCUUGCACCUGUAUCGGUAAGAAUCGGGCAUUUCAGCACUCGGAUGGUUCAUGUUUGUGCAGAACUGGUUUCAUCUUCUACAAUGAACUGGACUUCAAAAGUUCUACCUCUGACAGUGAAUUGGACUGCCAGCCUGAGGUGAACAGACGGUGUUCUGCUGGUCAGGUACGUCUGGCAGCAUCCAGGGAGUGUGUGACACCUUCCCUCCACUCCUGCAAUACAACCUGUGGACAACAUGGAGGAACUCUGGAUGUGGCGAUGGGCAUCUGCCGGUGUGAGCGAUAUGUGUCCGCUGAAGAGCUUUGCAACACGUCCUGCCUCUUCACACUACCUCAGCUCUCCGCCCAGAUCUCACCAGACGGGCACCUGCUGCUCAGCUUAAAAGAAAGAGACAAGAUGGUGUGGGCAAGGACUGUGAUGGAUGUUUUAGGACCAGAUAUCCACGCAAAGGGUAUUGGUAAAAUCCAUUUGAUCCAGUUUGAUCCUGAAGGCGUGUUUGGUUGGAUUCCAACACAGAAAGAGCUCAUCAAUAACUUUCUGUCAGAACCGAUUAAACUCCUGAAGACAAGACAAAGAAAGAGGAGAGACAUGGAAGAUGCCGAGGAUUAUGAUGCUUCUGACACAGCUGUCCUUCCUCGUAUCCCCAACCCCAUUGUCUGUCUGUCCUCGGGUGACAUGCUCAUUUUCCAUCUCACCAUCAACCACACUGACCGACAUCGGAGCCACUUUCCAGUGUAUCAGAAAGACCACCUGUUUAACAGUAAUCCCAGUUGGGACUUUGGUGCCUUCAGACGACUGCAGAUACUCAUGAAGCAGACCAACUUGAACUCUACAAGGUUCGCCCACGUGUUUUCAGCAGCUGGGAAGUACGCGUUUGUCGACAGCACCGUCCCAGAGCGGAGUAUGGUGGUGGUGGUCAGUGAUCAGGGGACAGUCUGUGACCCUCGGGCCUCCGUCUUCCAGCCCAUGACCCCGGCACAGCUGGUGAAGCACGGGAUUAUCAAGCAGCACAGACUCAACCUUCUUCCUGACUGGGGAGUGAUAGCAGGGGUCCUUGGUCUGCUGCUGGUUCUCGUUGUGGUUUUGACCACCACCGUGAUAGUUCUGCGACCCGGUAAAGCAAAACUCGUCUCCCAAUGGAGGAAUAAGCCCAAGUGGCGCAGCCUCGGGGAGCCCUUCUGUCCGGUGGAUUGUGUUUGCAGUGAAGACAACAAAGUUGUCCCAAGCGUAGGUGGCUUACUAGGUAGUAGAGGUGAAGGAGAGGGAGCAGAAGCCGAGGAGCCCGCUGUUUCAAAAGGAGGAAAUGUUCCAGGGCGCUGCGAUUUGGAGGAGUUGAAUGUCAAGACUCUGUUUGACAAACUGGAGGAUCAGAACUUACACUUCGCCUCACAACUGGCCCGACACCGCAAAGACACACAGGAGUUUUAUAGAAACAUCUGUCAACAGACUGAAACACUCAAGAAUGUCCUAGACAAUAUGGAUCAUAGAAAACUAAGCUUUCUAAAGGAACUGCUUGUCCAUAAUGCAAUGAAGAAUAAACCAUUCGACUGCAGUGCAAGAGGGAGAGAUUUACAAGUUGAGACCUCUACAGCAUUACUAGGAGAUGUACUCCAGUCAGUAGAAGCUCUUCUCUGCAAGCUGGCGGGAGAAGCUUGGCAGAACCAGGAUUUAGCCGCCCCUCCAUACUGUCACAUUGGUCCUCGUGAUGCCAGGGAAUGUGAACCACGAGCUGGAUACAGACAAUCUGGUGACAACAUGUGUUAUACACAGUUUUCGUCAGCGAAUGUGAUCAAAGCAGAGCCAGUACAUCUACCGAGCACAGAGUCCUGUUUCAGUGACCACGACUUGUCCAGACUGGUCAGUACAUCUCCUCUGUUCAAGACCCUGCACGAGAUCCAACAGUCUUUACAGAAACUCACCACAGAGGAGUCUAACCGUCAGCCUCACAUUGCAGCUACAGAACAGUCUGUCCAGGAAAACAAUGAAGGGCAACUUAUCCCGACUGCCCUCGACAACCUCUCCGUGCAACACUCAGCCGUCUUCCUGUUCGGUUGCCAGGAAAAGCUUCAUCACGUUGGACAUUUCAUCGCCCUCAUUCUGCAGUCCAUGGCCUACAUAGUGUCAGGAUCCAAACCUCUGAGUUUCAUGGAAGCCCUUCAUGAGGCAAUAUCAGCUUUAAGCCUUCAGCUGUUCAACGUUUCUUUCAAAUGGAACACACCAGGGGUUUGCCACCAAAAGGGACACCAAUGCAGCUGAGCGUGCAGCUACAGAAGAGAGCUCAAAUGAGCACAUGGCUAAAGGAGAGAGAAAAUGGAGCUGGCAACCAUUCUGUGCAGGCAAUACCAACGAGCAUACCAAGUCUCAGUCGUAAUGGAACGAUCCUGCUGGAGCUGAAGAGAUCCUAUGUAUCACAGCGCCUCAACGAGCUCCAAAUGACAUUAGGCCGCAUCAGACAGAGCCAGCAGCGUGACAGCGAGUCAAAAAAUGGAACAAGAGGCCGCAUGCAAACCGACAGCAGCGCCACUCAGCAGGAGCAGAGCGACCAUUAUCCUGGCGUAGCUGAUUGGGGUCCGCUUGGCGGCCAGCGGCCGGACAGUUUUCCAUCUGACACGAGUCACAGCCAGCAAAGAGCAGAGAGCAGAGGUCCCGGUAACUCUAAACCGGAGAGUCGUAUAUCCGACCAGCUGAUGAGUGACACUGUCCAGAGCAACAACCCAGACGCAUCACUAGACUGCUAGAAGUCGUGUCUCUGUAUCCCAAGGGUGCAGGAGGCUUUGGUACACGUUUGUUUUGAUGCACAGAAUAAUACAAUUUCUUGUAUGUUUAAUCAGAGCUAAGUGUGUUGUUUUUAAUAAUGUAUGAUCUUGAAUUCUCAGGCAGGACUUAUUGUGUUCUGUUUAUUACCAUAUUCUAAAGAAGACGAUAAUCUUCAACUCGGUAGAUUCAAAAUGUGCUUCUGUGUUGUUUCUUACUCACAAACACUUCUCCCUUUUGUAGCGGUGACAACCUCUGUCUUCAUAAGUAUUUCAUGUUUGUCCGUUUUCUUCAUCUCAAAGCUCCAUUCAAAAUCUUGCUGGAAAGGUCUAUGCUUCCUUCCUCACUCGGGUUCCUCGGUUUGUCUGACGCACAGGGUUCUGGUUCUUUUAAUAGAAAGUGAGUAUUCCUACAGGGGACUGCGGGCCAAAUCAGAAGGUCAGAUGGAACAAGUCUUCACUUACUAUCAGUGUUAGCUUAGAGCUCUGUGACAACUCCCCCGAGGUGCAAUUUGGCAUUGCCCUGUAGAUUUGUGUGUGUGUGUAUGUGUAUGUGUUUGUGUGCGUACGAGGGGUGUGGUUCAGUGACUCCUUGAGAUUAUACGCCUUAUCAAUUAGAUUAGCUGCUAUGUGUUAGUGAUUUGGCCUCACGGUGAGACAAGGCAUCAUAUAACACGGC